UACGUAGGGGGCAAGCGUUGUCCGGAAUCAUUGGGCGUAAAGAGCGUGUAGGCGGUUCGGUAAGUCGGCUGUGAAAGUCCAGGGCUCAACCCUGGGAUGCCGGUCGAUACUGCCGGACUAGAGUUCGGAAGAGGCGAGUGGAAUUCCCGGUGUAGCGGUGAAAUGCGCAGAUAUCGGGAGGAACACCUAUGGCGAAGGCAGCUCGCUGGGACGUUACUGACGCUGAGACGCGAAAGCCAGGGGAGCGAACGGG
Molecule: ribosomal RNA, 253 nt
Filed under: uncultured bacterium
Lineage: Bacteria
Description: partial 16S ribosomal RNA
Rfam family: Bacterial small subunit ribosomal RNA
Source: RNAcentral